AUACGUAGGGUGCAAGCGUUAAUCGGAAUUACUGGGCGUAAAGCGUGCGUAGGCUGACGUGUAAGUCAGAGGUGAAAUCUCCGGGCUCAACCUGGGAACUGCCUUUGAUACUGCAUGUCUGGAGUUCGGAUGCCGUGGGAGGAAUGGGCAGUGUAGCGGUGAAAUGCAUAGAUAUUGCCCAGAACACCGAUUGCGAAGGCAUCUCACGAAUCCGACACUGACGCUGAGGCACGAAAGCGUGGGGAUCAAACAGGAUUAGAUACCCUGGUAGUCCACGCAGUAAACGAUGAUAACUAACCGCUGGGGUUUCGAUUUCAGUGGCCAAGCGAAAGCGAUAAGUUAUCCACCUGGGGAGUACGACCGCAAGGUUGAAACUCAAAUGAAUUGACGGGG
This 393-nucleotide ribosomal RNA is filed under the name uncultured bacterium. Its description in RNAcentral is "partial 16S ribosomal RNA". It matches the Rfam family "Bacterial small subunit ribosomal RNA", at positions 523 to 918 of the family's 1533-position model. The record is from RNAcentral.